CGGACCACUGUCUUGUAUGUUUCCUAAGAAAAGCAAAAAGGGAAGAGAUUGAAGAGAAAGUAGAUUUUCAGCUACAAACUUUCAUCCAUUAGCUUUCAGCUUAAGCAAAUGUGCGCAAAGUUGUCAUGGAUCUUUGCGGUCAAUAAAAACCAAGCAAGAAGACUGAAUCCCAAGUCAUCUGGGGCAGAUAAGAAAAGAAACAAUUUGCUGAAACUCCCUCUGCUUAUAACAAAACUGACUGAAAUCAGCUGGAAUCAAUAUGGCCAAAUGCAGUUUGCACACAGCAAGCUUGCUGAUGUCACAGCCUGAAUUUCUACCGCAUGUUUCAUAUGAACUCCCUCCAAAUUUGCGCAUAGGACCUAUGAGGAAGCAUGAAGAGAGAGCCAUCCAUGCCAGAAGACUUCCCAGAUGUUCCCUUUGCUUCCACCAAUUACCUGCUAACCCCAGGAUCCAACCCUAAACCUUCUGUAAUAAAAUUACUGCCUUAAAGCCAGUACAAGAAGACAGGUUUGAACCGGACUCCUGUUUCCUCAGAAGUUAACUUGCAAUGUGAAGCUUUUCUUUUCUCAAAAACCUGGUGUCAUAGUGUUGGCUUCUAGUGCAGUGAGCCCCUUUUGCUGCAUAACACUACCUGGUAAUUUGACAUACCAGGUGGUUAGUAACUACUGACUGCCUCCAGGUUGCAACACAAUUAUUACCCACUUGGGUGAAAAGAGAAGACAGGAAAUAAAUAUUGGAGUCGGCUGGCAACCUGUUUACAAAGCAAUUUACAACAGUUCCUUAUUCUUAAGGGGUUAUUCUAAUGUAAGACCUCAGAGAAACAGUGCAGUGUGACAAAGGAGGAAUUUAUCAAAGGAGACAGAAAAAGCAUCAAGGCAAGCUGUGAAAUGGUGCAGUAGGAACCAAAUAGAGAGCCAAAGGAUCUCUCUGUCACUGCAGGCCCUUAGGCUGAACUCUGAGAACACCACAACUUCACAGAGACUGCUGGUUUUCUGCAAUUAGCAGCAAGAGUCUUGACUCAGGGAAGUUGCUCUCCAGUCCAGACUAGCAAAAGACAGAGAGAAUGGGCUCUGCAGAAGACAGAUCCAGACAAGCCAUGCAUGAUUCAUGCCACCUGCAGCCACAUGGGUGUCAAUACCAAGAACCUGCCAUAUGUCAUCAAGAGUGUGUUAAAUGAAACCUUCUCAAGAGUUAUUCUUUUGUGCUCUGUCCAAAUCUGGAGAACCCUUCCAAGUACUAUAAAGAUUGAUAUCUUGGCCGGGCCUGGUGGCUCACACCUGUAAUCCCAGCACUUCGGGAAGCUGAGGUGGGCAGAUCACAGGGUCAGGAGUUCCAGACCAGCCUGGCCAACAUGGUGAAACCCCAUCUCUACUAAAAAUACAAAAAUUAGCCAGGUGUGGUGGCGGGCGCCUGGAAUUCCAGCUACUCGAGAGGCUGAGGCAAGAGAAUCGCUUGAACCUGGAAGGCUGAGGUUGCAGUGAGCCAAGAUCACACCACUGAACUCCAGCCUGGGCAACAAGAGUGAAACUCUGUUUCAAAAAAAAAAAAGAUUGAUAUCUUGACCAUAUAGAGACUUCUCCCAACUGAUCAUUUUUGUUCACAUUCUGUUGUACAGAAUAUGAAUAUUUGGAAGGCAGCAUUCUUUCCUAAUAUUUAAAUGAUUGCCAAAAAUAUUUAAAUGAUCAUUAAUACUCAUUUAAAUUAAUAAUAAUCUUUAAAGUUAUUUUGGGGUAUACUGCAUAAUGUAAUCGUGUUGUCAGAAAACUUAAAGGGGCCCAAAAGGAAAAGUCACUACAUUUGUUUUUGGUAAUAAACAAGCCCCACUUCUUACUUUCUG
RNAcentral lists this non-coding RNA (1837 nucleotides) under Pongo abelii (Sumatran orangutan). Lineage: Eukaryota; Metazoa; Chordata; Mammalia; Primates; Hominidae. The record is from RNAcentral.